RNAcentral lists this transfer RNA (65 nucleotides) under Succinea putris (European ambersnail). Its description in RNAcentral is "tRNA-His". Lineage: Eukaryota; Metazoa; Mollusca; Gastropoda; Stylommatophora; Succineidae. The record is from RNAcentral.
UUUAUUAUAGGAUAAAAUAAAUCCAAGGGGUUGUGAUCUCCUAAAUUCAUCUGAUGAUAGUAAAU